CCUACGGGGGGCUGCAGUGAGGAAUAUUGGUCAAUGGGCGCGAGCCUGAACCAGCCAAGUCGCGUGAAGGAUGACGGUCCUAUGGAUUGUAAACUUCUUUUGUGCAGGAAUAAAGUGAGGAACGUGUUCCUUUUUGUAUGUACUGUACGAAUAAGCAUCGGCUAACUCCGUGCCAGCAGCCGCGGUAAUACGGAGGAUGCGGGCGUUAUCCGGAUUUAUUGGUUUUAAGGCGGGCUGAUGCGGCAGGGGUGAAAGUUUGCAGCUUAACUGUAAAAUUGCCAUUGAAACUGUUAGUCUUGAGUGCAAAUGAGGUAGGCGGAAUGUGUUGUGUAGCGGUGAAAUGCUUAGAUAUAACACAGAACUCCGAUUGCGAAGGCAGCUUACUGGGAUGCAACUGACGCUGAUGCACGAAAGCGUGGGUAUCAAACAGGAUUAGAUACCCGGGUAGUC
This 450-nucleotide ribosomal RNA is filed under the name uncultured bacterium. RNAcentral's name for it is "partial 16S ribosomal RNA". It matches the Rfam family "Bacterial small subunit ribosomal RNA", at positions 338 to 795 of the family's 1533-position model. The record is from RNAcentral.